GUACAUGUAUGGAAAAUUUUGGAAGUCAAUUGCUACAAUUUUUAUCUGAUCACGCGGCACAAGUCUAUCACUGUCUAGUGCAUGGGUUAAGUUCCUCUCUUUCCAAUUCCGGGUACAGGUACAGGUACUUUGUGGCGUCGUCCAUCUCAAAAAUGGAAAAACCACAACUUCAAAAUAUUAUUUCCGUACAUUUGCAGAGGGAGUUCAAAAAACAAAAUAUAUAGACGGGUCCAGAAAAUCUCGACGUCAAUGCCAUUCAACUGUCACAAAGUGUAAAACACCUGUCAAAAACUACUUUCUGGAUAAUGAACACUGUGACUGCUAGAAAAUAUUCCAUUUGUUAACUUUUAUACUACUAUACUAAUAUCACACAAAUUUUUUCAAGCAUUAUGUAACAUAUCUUAGCAUCACUCAUAAUUCUCUGAACUUGUAAAAUUUGUAUUGAUGGCUUUUUGCAAAU
Zophobas morio is the source of this 460-nucleotide long non-coding RNA. RefSeq lists it as uncharacterized. NCBI's taxonomy places the organism in Eukaryota, Metazoa, Arthropoda, Insecta, Coleoptera, Tenebrionidae. The record is from RefSeq and is a predicted model, not a curated record. The transcript is spliced from 3 exons.